RNAcentral lists this ribosomal RNA (253 nucleotides) under uncultured bacterium. RNAcentral's name for it is "partial 16S ribosomal RNA". It matches the Rfam family "Bacterial small subunit ribosomal RNA", at positions 524 to 776 of the family's 1533-position model. The record is from RNAcentral.
UACGUAGGGGGCUAGCGUUGUCCGGAAUCAUUGGGCGUAAAGCGCGCGUAGGCGGCCAGAUAAGUCCGGUGUGAAAGUCACAGGCUCAACCUGUGAAUGCCGCUGGAAACUGGCUGGCUUGAGUCCGGAAGGGGCGAGUGGAAUUCCUGGUGUAGCGGUGAAAUGCGCAGAUAUCAGGAAGAACACCCGUGGCGAAGGCGGCUCUCUGGGACGGUACUGACGCUGAGACGCGAAAGCGUGGGGAGCGAACAGG